GUGCUCCCUUCUCCAGCACAUAUACUAAAAUUGAAUUAAUACGGUGAAGAUUAGCAUGGCCCAUGUGUAUAAAUAACACACAAAUUCAUGGAGCAUUCCAUAUUUAA
Nycticebus coucang (slow loris) is the source of this 107-nucleotide small nuclear RNA. The record is from RefSeq and is a predicted model, not a curated record. NCBI's taxonomy places the organism in Eukaryota, Metazoa, Chordata, Mammalia, Primates, Lorisidae.